UGUGGCAAAGGGCAGGUCAGAAGGCAUGUCCAUUUCUGAUUGUUAGGGCUACCCUGUGGGCUCAGGUGACGACCAAAUGGACAAUUUGUGGAGUUAGAAUAUCAAUUGUCACUGCUUUUUUUUUAUUUUUUCUUUUUUUUCUUUUUUUUUUUUUUUUGCUAGAACUCAGCAAAGCAGGCUGCCAGGGCUGGGUGUCUGUCCAGGUGGAGAAACUGGCGGGUCCCAGCCAGCGGGACAGUGGUUCGUUAAACGCCCUAAGGCCGGUUGUAAAUCAUUAACGAGAGUUGGUGGUUUCCCGUGAUAGGAGCCCACAGGAAACGCCACCCCCAGAUUUCCGUUAGGGUUUUCUCGGAGGCCCCCUUGGCCAGGGGAGCGCCGAGACCGCCCUCCCCUCUGUGGUCCCAGCCCCUGAGCCGUUACUGGGGACGCUGAGACCUUCUGCCGUCACACCUGGGCCGGCCCCUGCUCGCCCAGGUCUCCUGGAUUCAGCAUGACCUGCAACCCGCCCCAGCGCACCCCAACACAGCUGCAAUUCCAGAUGGACGGACCUUACUAGGCAGAGGCUGCGAUGACGGGAGAUCCUAGACCAGGCAGAUAAGGAACAAUGGGCAAUUACUUCUCAACGUGUGGAGGCUGAAGUCCAAGAUCCAGGUGCCGGCAGGUGCGGCGUGCGGUGAGAAUGCUGGUCCUCAAACAAGACCGGCAGCUUCAUGAGUUCGGCCAGAGCGAGAGCGAGAUGGGCCCUGGCGCCUCCGCGCACGGCUGACGCCCACACGGAGAGACUGACAGGUCGCCGGCCGCGAGGGAGCAGGCAACUCAGAAAUGCGAAGGGGAGUUCGUUUUGCAAAUCCAGGCGCUGGUGUGGUCGAGGGAGCGCCCGCCACGCUGUGGGCUGCAGGGCCACGGGCCCGCCCCCUUCUGUCUGCUGCAAGAUUGGCAUUGGCACUGGCCAAUGGGAUGCCGCGGAGGUGCUGCCCACGCUCUGCAGCUGCUCACUCGUGGGAGUACCUGCAGCUCAAGCGGGAAAAGCCACCUCCCACCGCCCCGGGGCCUGACCCGGGACUCACCAGAAGGUCCUCCCCGUGCGCCCCCACCCCAAACAGCCGCGCCACGGAAUGGAGAGCACGAUCCAUGGUGACGCAGUUCUUGUCUUCGACUCGGUUCCCCUUACUUCGCCAAGAAAAACAAAACCGAUCUAGACACACACAGCAUUGAGCAUACAGAGAGAGCGAUCACGGAGCAAAACGGUUCGGAGCCACUGGAAGUAUCUCUACGUAUGACUAUGGGACCCAGACAGGAGAAAUCCAGCCGUGCUGGUGUCUUUCGGUGGUUUUCGUUCAAAGCAUGCCCUUAAAAAUUCAUUGGCUGCAACUAGAGCUUUGCUUGGUAUGUGAUUGUAAUCUGAAAAGACACCGGCGUUCGGGCUGCCUGUCACUGCCAAACCCAAUAAGCAAUGACAGCGAUUGGAUCUUUGAUGGGCGCUUUAUUCAGAUCCGAGGAGAUGGCGGGUUCACACCCUAACAGACCAUUUCCUGGCCAGACCUUUUAUGAGGGGGUGGGGGAGGGCACGCAAGGUGGGGUGAGGGCUUUGAGAUUCAGAAGCUGCAACAUUCCUGUCCUGCGCAGUUACCUGUUCCCAAAGCGUGGGGUGGUCACACAAAAGGCCCAGGUGCCUCCAACGUGUCCCCAGGCGGCAAUCUCCAGCCAGUGCCCCAGGAGGUCGGCUGCUUUUCCCAGGAGCCAGGACGGGCCUUAUCUGCAGUUUCUGAAACAAAAGCUUAACAUACACAUGCCUUGCUAGACUUACGGCUUUUUACCUCCAGCUAAAAUUUUCCAAGUCUUGAGUCCCCUAUCAUGAUGUAUCUUUUUUACAAUUUAAAACGUGGUUUUUUUUUUUUUCAAUUACAGUUUCUUUUCAAUAGGAUUGUGAGUGAGUUUCAAAGUGCAGGGCGUAGCAGCUACACAUUCAUAAAUGUUGCAAAGUGAUCUCCUGACGUUUGCAGCACCCAGGAGGCGCCACACCUAGCUGUUACAAUGUUACUGACGCCGCUCCCUGGGCGGCACUUUAGAUCCCCGGGAGCGUUCUGUAACUGCGGGGCUGUACUCCUGGGUCUACACUGUUAUCCUUUUAAGACGCCAAGUUGCGGGGAGGCUCCUGGUGCUGAGGAAGCCGACACACACAGUGGCCUCCAACUAUGAGUGGCUCUGGCAUGACACGUAUCUUUACCCAGGACUCACAGCACUCUGCACGGGCUCCCGGGCACCUCGGGGAGCUCCGGCGAAAGGCGUCCUGAAGCAGUUUGCAAUGCCUUCGGCUUCCAAGCCAGGGGCAGCCUGCAAGACGUCCGAUGAUGCAUUGUCGUGCGGCAAUCUCUCUGGCUUUUGCUUGCACUCCCAAGCAUCUGCCGGAGGUCCAGGUCCGGUGGGCCGGUCUGGGGUUGACAGGUUCUCCUGAGAUUCGAGGCGUCUUCCCCUAGUGGGGCCCUACUGGCCACUGGUGAGCAGAGAUCUCCUGGCUGCAUUCCCCGGGGGGUGGGGAGUCUUUGCACCCACGUUCUAAGAUUCUUGAGAAACAGCAGGCUUCACUUGGAUGCAGACACCGGCCCGCAGUGUCUGCAUCAUCAUGGAUGAAGUGAGACAUUCUCACACGGACCGCCAACUCCAGUGGAGGAAAAGGGACAGCGUGGCUUUUCUCUCCAGGGGAGCAGAAGCCUUGGCCCUUGUCGUGACCGGCCUUUAUGGGGUUUCUCCGCCCAUUACACUGAUGGUCCUCAUUUACUAGGCACAGGCUCACUUUAGGGGGUCACCUUUUACAGAAAACAAAGGAGCCAAUGCUGCUCAUCCCAUCACAGAAGAGGGAGAUUUGCAGAUGAACAGGCAAACGUGGUUGAACCAGUUACAGUCAGUCAUUCUUGGAAGGUUUAGCACGGAUUUUAGGAAGUUGCUUUGCAGUAAAUGUCCUCAAUUCAGGGUGAGGGAGUUUUUUAGCAAGAGCAAGACUCAAAGCGGCCUGGGCACAUGACAGGCCUGAUUCCCCACGGGAGAACCUCUCCGUGGGCGUGGGUCCUGUGCCUCUGUCUCCGAGUGGGAGCCGGGCCCACGCCCACGGAGAAUGUUCUACUACAGACUUGACUUUGGGUCUCUGGGGGCUGCUUGCUCUGGAAUGAGCGUCCCAACAGAAAGACGGACAUGCCAACAUUACUGGCCUCUGAUGGGUUCCCUCAAAACAGGGUGCAGGCCCUGGCUGGUGUAGCUCCGUGGAUUGAGCGCGGGCUGCGAACCAAAGCCUCGCAGGUUCGAUUCCCAGUCAGGGCACAUGCCUGGGUGGCAGCCCAUGACC
Phyllostomus hastatus (greater spear-nosed bat) is the source of this 3340-nucleotide long non-coding RNA. RefSeq lists it as uncharacterized. The transcript is spliced from 3 exons. Lineage: Eukaryota; Metazoa; Chordata; Mammalia; Chiroptera; Phyllostomidae. The record is from RefSeq and is a predicted model, not a curated record.